UAUACCGUGAAACUGCGAAUGGCUCAUUAAAUCAGUUAUCGUUUAUUUGAUAGUACCUUACUACUUGGACAACCGUGGUAAUUCUAGAGCUAAUACAUGCUGACAACCUCGACUUACGAAGAGGUGUAUUUAUUAGAUAAAAAACCCAACGCCUUCGGGGCUUCUUGGUGAUUCAUAAUAACUUUACGGAUCGCAUGGCCUUGCGCCGGGCGACGGUUCAUUCAAAUUUCUGCCCUAUCAACUUUCGAUGGUAAGGUAUUGGCUUACCAUGGUUUCAACGGGUAACGGGGAAUUAGGGUUCGAUUCCGGAGAGGGAGCCCGAGAAACGGCUACCACAUCCAAGGAAGGCAGCAGGCGCGCAAAUUACCCAAUCCCGAUACGGGGAGGUAGUGACAAUAAAUACUGAUACAGGGCUCUUUUGGGUCUUGUAAUUGGAAUGAGUACAAUUUAAACCUCUUAACGAGGAACAAUUGGAGGGCAAGUCUGGUGCCAGCAGCCGCGGUAAUUCCAGCUCCAAUAGCGUAUAUUAAAGUUGUUGCAGUUAAAAAGCUCGUAGUUGAACCUUGGGUCUGGCUGGCAGGUCCGCCUCACCGCGUGUACUUGUCCGGCCGGGCCUUCCUUCUGGAGAACCUCAUGCCCUUCACUGGGCGUGUUGGGGACCAGGACUUUUACUUUGAAAAAAUUAGAGUGUUCAAAGCAGGCCUUUGCUCGAAUACGUUAGCAUGGAAUAAUAGAAUAGGACGUGCGGUCCUAUUUUGUUGGUUUCUAGGACCGCCGUAAUGAUUAAUAGGGACAGUCGGGGGCAUCAGUAUUCAAUUGUCAGAGGUGAAAUUCUUGGAUUUAUUGAAGACUAACUACUGCGAAAGCAUUUGCCAAGGAUGUUUUCAUUAAUCAGUGAACGAAAGUUAGGGGAUCGAAGACGAUCAGAUACCGUCGUAGUCUUAACCGUAAACUAUGCCGACUAGGGAUCGGGCGAUGUUAUUUUUCUGACUCGCUCGGCACCUUACGAGAAAUCAAAGUUUUUGGG
This 1027-nucleotide ribosomal RNA is filed under the name Rubroshiraia bambusae. RNAcentral's name for it is "SSU rRNA". It matches the Rfam family "Eukaryotic small subunit ribosomal RNA", at positions 75 to 1111 of the family's 1831-position model. Lineage: Eukaryota; Fungi; Ascomycota; Dothideomycetes; Pleosporales; Shiraiaceae. The record is from RNAcentral.